This is a long non-coding RNA of Pristis pectinata (smalltooth sawfish), 339 nucleotides long. RefSeq lists it as uncharacterized. The record is from RefSeq and is a predicted model, not a curated record. NCBI's taxonomy places the organism in Eukaryota, Metazoa, Chordata, Chondrichthyes, Rhinopristiformes, Pristidae. The transcript is spliced from 3 exons.
AUGGAAUUGGACACCUAGCAACAUCAGAACUUAAAGGAACAGGUGGUCAACAAAGUAAGCUUUAAGGAGGUUUCUAAAUGACAGAAGAGUCAAAAAGGUUUAAGUCAGGAUUUCUUCAUCGUAGGACCAGUGAAGGGAGCAAGCGAUGUGCCAGAAACCAGAAUUGCCUGGAGAUGAAGCCAUUUACACUGAACUUUUGUCAACUGAUGCACCUUCCCUUGCCAGAACCUUGAUGCAAUUCUGAGCUGCAGUGAGAGAUGUUGUCUGACCAGCUGAAUUCCUCCAGCGCCUUGUGAGUUAUGCUAGAUACAAGCUUGCUGACGAUGGAGAGACAGGUGG